CCGCACAAGCGGUGGAGCAUGUGGUUUAAUUCGAUGCAACGCGAAGAACCUUACCUGGUCUUGACAUCCACAGAAGAAUCCAGAGAUGGAUUUGUGCCUUCGGGAACUGUGAGACAGGUGCUGCAUGGCUGUCGUCAGCUCGUGUUGUGAAAUGUUGGGUUAAGUCCCGCAACGAGCGCAACCCUUAUCCUUUGUUGCCAGCGGUUAGGCCGGGAACUCAAAGGAGACUGCCAGUGAUAAACUGGAGGAAGGUGGGGAUGACGUCAAGUCAUCAUGGCCCUUACGACCAGGGCUACACACGUGCUACAAUGGCGCAUACAAAGAGAAGCGACCUCGCGAGAGCAAGCGGACCUCAUAAAGUGCGUCGUAGUCCGGAUUGGAGUCUGCAACUCGACUCCAUGAAGUCGGAAUCGCUAGUAAUCGUGGAUCAGAAUGCCACGGUGAAUACGUUCCCGGGCCUUGUACACACCGCCCGUCACACCAUGGGAGUGGGUUGCAAAAGAAGUAGGUAGCUUAACCUUCGGGAGGGCGCUUACCACUUUGUGAUUCAUGACUGGGGUGAAGUCGUAACAAGGUAACCGUAGGGGAACCUGCGGUUGGAUCACCUCCUUACCUUAAAGAA
RNAcentral lists this ribosomal RNA (622 nucleotides) under Salmonella enterica subsp. enterica serovar Derby. Its description in RNAcentral is "bacterial SSU rRNA". It matches the Rfam family "Bacterial small subunit ribosomal RNA", at positions 921 to 1533 of the family's 1533-position model. The record is from RNAcentral. Lineage: Bacteria; Pseudomonadati; Pseudomonadota; Gammaproteobacteria; Enterobacterales; Enterobacteriaceae.